UUUUUGGAUUGGAGUCCCUCAGUCCGGUCACUCGAAGAUUGAGUUGGACUCUCCGCUCGUUUGCCCACAGCGCCGAGGAAGCUGGUGCACGAAUUCCCGGGAUCUGUGCUGUACAUCCGUCUGAACGCCCCUGCAAAGUCGAGACGCUUGAAAAAACCUUGCAGUUGCUCAUAUCUGCUGUGAUAUUUGGGAGGGGGAGGGGGAAAAAAAGGCAGGAUGUGUCUUCAGUUCCUUUCCUUUUCAUUUCUCCAUCCCCAAGUGGCACCUCUUGCAUGUCAGUGCCUAUAAAGCCCUGAGUGAAGCGCUGCUGGAGGGACGCCAGGAGACUUCCCACGCUCGUCAUUAGCGCCCGUGCCUCGUCUGAAGGAAGGAAGGAUGGUGUCUGCCAGCCUGCUUUGUGCCUCCUCUUGCAGGAAUCCCAUUUCCUGGCAGGGAGGUGGAAAUCAAAGCCCGGGCUGAGCUAAUGGAGACGGACACUCCAGCUCGGGUGCAUCUGUGGCUCCCCGAGACAGACUCGCCGCGUCUGGUUGGCUCGUCCCAAGCCGACGGAGCAGCUCCCCUGGAACACGCUCCCGGUGCUUUGCCGUAAACGGGCCAGUCGUGUUUAAUAUGUGCAACUGUGAUUGCAUCAUUUAUUAAAUCAAAUGGCCUCAUGUGUUUUUCCCA
This is a long non-coding RNA of Pseudopipra pipra, 666 nucleotides long. RefSeq lists it as uncharacterized. NCBI's taxonomy places the organism in Eukaryota, Metazoa, Chordata, Aves, Passeriformes, Pipridae. The record is from RefSeq and is a predicted model, not a curated record. The transcript has 2 exons.